AUCUUACACACAGCAUACCCACUUGACAUUUACAUAGUGGAAUGUGGUGUGUAAUGCCG
RNAcentral lists this microRNA precursor (59 nucleotides) under Panagrellus redivivus. RNAcentral describes it as "microRNA prd-mir-7943 precursor". Lineage: Eukaryota; Metazoa; Nematoda; Chromadorea; Rhabditida; Panagrolaimidae. The record is from miRBase by way of RNAcentral.